Molecule: ribosomal RNA, 585 nt
Filed under: uncultured bacterium
Lineage: Bacteria
Description: bacterial SSU rRNA
Rfam family: Bacterial small subunit ribosomal RNA
Source: RNAcentral
CCUACGGGAGGCAGCAGUAAGGAAUAUUGGUCAAUGGGCGCAAGCCUGAACCAGCCAUGCCGCGUGCAGGAAGACGGCCCUAUGGGUUGUAAACUGCUUUUGAACAAGAGAAAACCUCGGUACGUGUACCGAGCUGAUAGUAUUGUUAGAAUAAGCAUCGGCUAACUUCGUGCCAGCAGCCGCGGUAAGACGAAGGAUGCAAGCGUUAUCCGGAUUCAUUGGGUUUAAAGGGUGCGUAGGCGGCCUGAUAAGUCAGUGGUGAAAUCUCUCAGCUUAACUGAGAAACUGCCAUUGAUACUGUCGGGCUUGAGUACAGAUGAUGUGGGCGGAAUAUGACAUGUAGUGGUGAAAUACUUAGAUAUGUCAUAGAACACCGAUUGCGAAGGCAGCUCACAAAACUGUAAACUGACGCUGAGGCACGAAAGUGCGGGGAUCAAACAGGAUUAGAUACCCUGGUAGUCCGCACCGUAAACGAUGAUUACUCGUUGUUGGCAAUAUGACCGUCAGCGACCAAGCGAAAGCGANAAGUAAUCCACCUGGGGAGUACGCCGGCGAACGGUGAAACGUCAAAGUGAAAGUUGACGG